CUGAACACAAACCACUGAGAAAUUUCGGUAUUCACCAGAUGAGAAAAGAAAAAUUGGAAAAGGAAGAAAAAGAGUAGACCAAGGAAGCUCAUUCCCCACUCCAUUCCAACCAUCAUCCUCAUUGUAGAACCAAAAGGAGGUGUACAUG
This is a long non-coding RNA of Telopea speciosissima, 148 nucleotides long. RefSeq lists it as uncharacterized. The record is from RefSeq and is a predicted model, not a curated record. NCBI's taxonomy places the organism in Eukaryota, Viridiplantae, Streptophyta, Magnoliopsida, Proteales, Proteaceae. The transcript has 2 exons.